ACGAACGCUGGCGGCGCGCCUAACACAUGCAAGUCGAACGAGCGAGAGAGAGCUUGCUUUCUUGAGCGAGUGGCGAACGGGUGAGUAACGCGUGAGGAACCUGCCUCAAAGAGGGGGACAACAGUUGGAAACAACUGCUAAUACCGCAUAAGCCCACGACCCGGCAUCGGGUUGAGGGAAAAGGAGCAAUCCGCUUUGAGAUGGCCUCGCGUCCGAUUAGCUAGUUGGUGAGGUAACGGCCCACCAAGGCGACGAUCGGUAGCCGGACUGAGAGGUUGAACGGCCACAUUGGGACUGAGACACGGCCCAGACUCCUACGGGAGGCAGCAGUGGGGAAUAUUGCACAAUGGGGGAAACCCUGAUGCAGCGACGCCGCGUGGAGGAAGAAGGUCUUCGGAUUGUAAACUCCUGUUGUUGAGGAAGAUAAUGACGGUACUCAACAAGGAAGAGACGGCUAACUACGUG
This 465-nucleotide ribosomal RNA is filed under the name uncultured bacterium. RNAcentral describes it as "partial 16S ribosomal RNA". It matches the Rfam family "Bacterial small subunit ribosomal RNA", at positions 29 to 507 of the family's 1533-position model. The record is from RNAcentral.